GGGGAAUAUUGCACAAUGGGCGAAAGCCUGAUGCAGCAACGCCGCGUGAGCGAUGAAGGCCUUCGGGUUGUAAAGCUCUGUCUUCGCUGACGAAAUCUGACGGUAAGCGAGGAGGAAGCCACGGCUAACUACGUGCCAGCAGCCGCGGUAAUACGUAGGUGGCAAGCGUUGUCCGGAAUUACUGGGCGUAAAGGGUGCGUAGGCGGUCCUUUAAGUGGGAUGUGAAAUCCCUGGGCUUAACCCAGGAACUGCAUUCCAAACUGGAGGACUAGAGUGCAGGAGAGGAAAGCGGUAUUCCCAGUGUAGCGGUGAAAUGCGUAGAGAUUGGGAGGAACACCAGUAGCGAAGGCGGCUUUCUGGAAUGUAACUGACGCUGAGGCACGAAAGCGUGGGGAGCAAACAGGA
RNAcentral lists this ribosomal RNA (405 nucleotides) under uncultured bacterium. RNAcentral's name for it is "bacterial SSU rRNA". It matches the Rfam family "Bacterial small subunit ribosomal RNA", at positions 356 to 777 of the family's 1533-position model. The record is from RNAcentral.